UAAUUGUUUAUUUGUUUUAUUUGAUUGUUUGUUAUUUUAUUUAAUUGUUAGAAAUGUUUUGGUUAAUUAAUUUAAUAAGUGAUUAAUUGUGUAACAUGUUAUCUUACUAUUAGUGUUACAUUUUAUUUAAGUGUGACAAAUGAGGUAUUUAUGUGAGCUAUGGUGGAAUGAACUAAGGUGCAUGAUAGAUAGUAAUGCACCCUAGUAAUUUAGUGUGUGCUAGUGCAUGGUAGCAUGGUGCACAUGUGUAGAUUUUCUACACAUUUUAGGUUUCCUUAUUUUAGAUUUAAUUGAGUAAUUUAUUUAUAAAAAAAAAAAGAAAAAAAAGAAAAGGGAAAUGAGGAGUGGGCGUGUGACCUAGUGGGAAUGGAAUAUUUCCUUAAAAUGGUAAAAAAAAUAAAGACUUGAAGACCAUGAUCAUUUGGGGAUAGGCAUGAUCAUAUCUUAUCCCUUUGUAUCUUUUUGAAAUAAAGAAAAAUCAAGGAAAAUAAAAGAGAAAUGGAAACUUACCUUAAUAUUGUUUGGGGAGACUUUAUGAGAGGAUUUGUGAUAAAGGGGCUAAGAAAGGAGAGAAGAGCCAUUGCUCUUGUGUGUGUGUGUGGCUGCCGUGACCUAGAGAGAGAGAGAGAGAGAGAGAGUGGCGUGUAGAGAGAGAGAGAGAGAGAGGAAGAAAGAAAGAAAGGAAGAAGGAAGAAGAAAGUGAAGAGGAACCCCCCUAGAGCUUGAACAAGGGUGUGGAGUUUGUGGUAUUGAUCUUUUGUGUUCUUGAUUCUACAAUCAAGAGAGGUAGCAAAUAGGAUUUCUCUAUGGCACGCGUGGUGACGUGAGGAGUUCUUCAUCAUGGGGUGUAUGGCGUGGGGUAAUCCUAUGGACGAUAAAACGAUCGA
This is a long non-coding RNA of Humulus lupulus (European hop), 887 nucleotides long. RefSeq lists it as uncharacterized. The record is from RefSeq and is a predicted model, not a curated record. The transcript has 3 exons. Lineage: Eukaryota; Viridiplantae; Streptophyta; Magnoliopsida; Rosales; Cannabaceae.